RNAcentral lists this ribosomal RNA (491 nucleotides) under Orchesellides sp. 9688-2 FZ-2013. RNAcentral's name for it is "partial 16S ribosomal RNA". It matches the Rfam family "Archaeal large subunit ribosomal RNA", at positions 1908 to 2666 of the family's 2987-position model. The record is from RNAcentral. Lineage: Eukaryota; Metazoa; Arthropoda; Collembola; Entomobryomorpha; Orchesellidae.
UUCUUUUAGUUUUAAUUAAAAGUAAAGCCUGCCCACUGUGAUAUGAAGGGCUGCGGUAUUCUGACCGUACUAAGGUAGCAUAAUCAUUAGCCUUUUAAUUGAAGGAUUGUAUGAAUGGUUUAACAAAUAUUUAUUUUUUUAUUAUUAAUUUUUUUAACUUAAAUUUUAAGUGAAAAUGCUUAAAUUUUUUAAAUAGACGAUAAGACCCUAUAGAGUUUAAUAAUGAACUUUAAUGUAUUAUUUGGAUGUAUUUUAUUUUAUAAAUAUUUAUUUUAUUGGGGCAAUAAAAGAAUUAAAAAAACUUCUUUUUUAUGGUUUUAAAAUUUAAAAAAAUCUUAACUUUUAAAAAUUAACAAAUUACCUUAGGGAUAACAGCGUUAUAUUUUUUGAGAGCUCUUAUCGACAAAAUUGAUUGCGACCUCGAUGUUGAAUUAAGAGAUCUAUUUAGGGCAGUACUUAAAUUAGAUAGUCUGUUCGACUAUAAAAUUCUU